CCGAGCUCAUGCCCUUACGGGUAGAUCUCCCACCCUAUGUUAUUGUUACCUUUGUUGCUUUGGCGGGCCGUCAGGCCUCGGUCAGGCUACCGGCUCCGGCUGGUAAGCGCCCGCCAGAGGACCCCAAACCCUGAAUAUUAGUGUCGUCUGAGUACUAUAUAAUAGUUA
Molecule: unclassified non-coding RNA, 168 nt
Filed under: uncultured Helotiales
Lineage: Eukaryota; Fungi; Ascomycota; Leotiomycetes; Helotiales
Description: sequence contains ITS1
Source: RNAcentral